Molecule: long non-coding RNA, 1219 nt
Organism: Felis catus (domestic cat)
Lineage: Eukaryota; Metazoa; Chordata; Mammalia; Carnivora; Felidae
Exons: 2
Source: RefSeq, a predicted model, not a curated record
GGCUGGCUGAUCCAUCUCCCCUGCCAGUCGGGGAAGGUCCCCUGUGUCCCUUUCCCAAGCCGGUUUACAUCUCCUGCUAGACAUAGCAAGCGGAUGGAGUGACAGUCCACACUGCGGGCCUCGAGACGAUAAAUACUAAACCUUCUGAAAAAAGCCCUACUUUCAACGAAGGGGAACAGGGCUUGGCAGGCUCUGGGAAGAAUUUGCUCCAGGAGCUGGCGCUCGGGAGGGCGUGGUGCCAAUCUGUGUGGGAGCCCUGCCUGCGGGCAGAGAGGGAGGGCCCACCAGGGUGUGCGCUGGUGCAGACGUGUUUGCAGGAAGCGGCCGGGUGGUGCAGACAUCCAGGGAGUCCUGGGCUAGGAGCUGGAUCGCCGGGGUUCUCUCUGCCACGUGUUAGUGCCGCGACCUUGGAGCUCAACCUCCCAAAGCUUCAGUUUGCCCAGCUGCAAAAUGGGGACGCUAAGAACCCCCCUCACACGUCUGUUAAGAAGAUCCAAGCAAAUGGAUGUGGGGGGGCUCCCAGGGACGAAGCAGGAGGCUGCUCUGGGGUUGGGGCUGGAGGAGUUGUCCUGCUCUCCUCGGGCCCUCUCUGGAGCUGGGGGCGUCAGGCAGUACUUGGUCUGGGGAAGGCCAGGACUAGCAGUUCCGAGCCCCUCUCCCGUGACUUCCUCCCUUGCCUCCUUGGCUGCCCAAAGCAGCACUAAAUCAGGUCACCACUUGUCUUGCCUUGCAGUAGCUGUCUUGCAGACAGCUCCUGCCCAGCUCCCAAUCCAGGUCACUGGCUCCCACACCCCUCCCUUCCCCAGCAGCCAAGGAGACGGCGCUCAGUGCUUUUGUUCUUAAGUGCUGCUCAUUAGACUCUGGCUGUGUGCCUGACACUGGGCCCAUCGCUUUAAGAAGAAAUAACAGGCCCCCUUUGCAGCACGCUCUAUCACGAGAUUCUCUCUCCCGUAGGGAGAUAGGAGCACUUCUAUUUUAUAAGUGAAGAAACUGAGGCUGAGAAAGCCUUCCAGCAAACCCACUGCUGCUCCCGCUGUUGCUUCUGGAAGACUGUCCUUAAAGAAAGGAAAGAACCAGAAGGAACUUCAAAGGCCUUCGCGUCCACCUGUUACCACUUCCACGGGCUGAGCUAGAACCCUCUGGCCACGGCUAUGGAAGAGUCAAGGACAGCUGGAAUCCACCCAACUUUUACCAAUAAUUCACCACCGUGAGACCUUGA